UUGAGUAAACGGGCAGUCGUUUCGCACUAUUUUAAAAUAGAUGCGGGGAGGAAAGUCCGGACUCCACAGGGCAGGGAGCCCGUCGCUUAGAUACUUUGGUAGUUAGGCGGCCGGGCAGAAGUGAUUCUGGGAAAGUGCCACAGAAAAGAAAACCCCCCGAUUUUUUCGGAGGAGAGCUGAAACGGUGAGGUAAGAGCUCACCAGCCUCGUAGUAAUGCGGGGGCUUGGUAAACCCCUCUUGGAGCAAGAUCAAGAAGAAGCUAUGGGCGGCCCGUCUUUUAGGCUUCGGGUAGAUCGCUUAGAUAGAUGAUUGCCACUCUGCUUGUUAGAGUACAGAAUCCGGCUUAUAGUUUGCUCAUCUAA
Molecule: RNase P RNA, 363 nt
Filed under: Actinomycetes bacterium
Lineage: Bacteria; Bacillati; Actinomycetota; Actinomycetes
Description: Actinobacteria bacterium RNase P RNA component class A
Rfam family: Bacterial RNase P class A
About the family: Ribonuclease P (RNase P) is a ubiquitous endoribonuclease, found in archaea, bacteria and eukarya as well as chloroplasts and mitochondria. Its best characterised activity is the generation of mature 5'-ends of tRNAs by cleaving the 5'-leader elements of precursor-tRNAs.
Source: RNAcentral